GAUGAACGCUGGCGGCGUGCCUAAUACAUGCAAGUCGAGCGAACAGACGAGGAGCUUGCUCCUCUGACGUUAGCGGCGGACGGGUGAGUAACACGUGGAUAACCUACCUAUAAGACUGGGAUAACUUCGGGAAACCGGAGCUAAUACCGGAUAAUAUAUUGAACCGCAUGGUUCAAUAGUGAAAGACGGUUUUGCUGUCACUUAUAGAUGGAUCCGCGCCGCAUUAGCUAGUUGGUAAGGUAACGGCUUACCAAGGCAACGAUGCGUAGCCGACCUGAGAGGGUGAUCGGCCACACGGGAACUGAGACGCGGUCCAGACUCCUACGGGAGGCAGCAGUAGGGAACCUUCCGCAAUGGGCGAAAGCUUGACGGAGCAACGCCGCGUGAGUGAUGAAGGUCUUCGGAUCGUAAAACUCUGUUAUUAGGGAAGAACAAAUGUGUAAGUAACUAUGCACGUCUUGACGGUACCUAAUCAGAAAGCCACGGCUAACUACGUG
RNAcentral lists this ribosomal RNA (497 nucleotides) under uncultured bacterium. RNAcentral describes it as "partial 16S ribosomal RNA". It matches the Rfam family "Bacterial small subunit ribosomal RNA", at positions 28 to 507 of the family's 1533-position model. The record is from RNAcentral.